UACGUAGGUGGCAAGCGUUAUCCGGAAUUAUUGGGCGUAAAGGGUGCGUAGGCGGUUUAGCAAGUCUAAGGUGAAAGUUCGGGGCUUAACUCCGGAUUGCCUUAGAAACUAUUAGACUAGAGUACAGGAGGGGGCAAUGGAAUUCCAUGUGUAGCGGUAAAAUGCGUAGAUAUAUGGAGGAACACCAGUGGCGAAGGCGGUUGCCUGGCCUGUUACUGACGCUGAUGCACGAAAGCGUGGGGAGCAAAUAGG
RNAcentral lists this ribosomal RNA (252 nucleotides) under uncultured bacterium. Its description in RNAcentral is "partial 16S ribosomal RNA". It matches the Rfam family "Bacterial small subunit ribosomal RNA", at positions 524 to 776 of the family's 1533-position model. The record is from RNAcentral.